UUGCCUUUAUUUUGAAUACUUUGUAAUGAAACUUUCCUAAGGCAUUCUCCCUUACCUGCCACCAUGCACGGUGUAGGCAGAACUCUUGGAAUCUCUUCUUGGUAGGCCAGGAUCAGGUGUAUGGAAACACCCAUAGGGCUGAAUUCUGCACCAAUGGCAAUGUCCUCAGGGAUUAAAACCACAUUCAGACUGCUGGUUUUUUGAGUUCUUUUAUCAGAAGUGAUGUAAUUUCUGAAAAAGCAAAACAACAAGAAGAUAAGUGGAAAAGGCUCAAAGGCCGCUAAUGAGUGGGAAAAUUGGCCAGUGGCUAAAAGCCAAGUGCCUUCUUGCAACUAAAAAGCCUUGAUUAUUUUUCUGCUGCUGAAGGAGGCAGAACAGAACAUCUACACUUACCUCCUGAGUAGCUUUCUCACAAGCCUGUGAGAUGUUCUGUUCUACCUUCUUGACUGGCAGGAACAUGAAGAGGCAGACACAUGUGAACUUUAGGAGGAAGUAUUUGAAGCCCAGGGGAUUGUGGUGAAAAAGACAAACACUGCCCCAUCUGUCCUGAAACAGACAUUUCAGAGGAGGGAAAUGGAUGAUAAACAGGUAAGUAAAUACUGUAGGUAAACAGAAUGGUUUCAAAUCACAAUAAGUCCCAUGAAAUAAACACACAGACUGUGUCACAGGACUUUCAGCUGAGACCCCUUUGAGAUGCAGUGACUUCCCAUGUUUGCCUGAAAG
Molecule: long non-coding RNA, 723 nt
Filed under: Callithrix jacchus (white-tufted-ear marmoset)
Lineage: Eukaryota; Metazoa; Chordata; Mammalia; Primates; Cebidae
Description: lncRNA (ENSCJAG00000052592.2)
Source: RNAcentral